Molecule: non-coding RNA, 1609 nt
Organism: Oryctolagus cuniculus (rabbit)
Lineage: Eukaryota; Metazoa; Chordata; Mammalia; Lagomorpha; Leporidae
Source: RefSeq, a predicted model, not a curated record
AGGGGUUCAAGAAGCUAAUGUUAAAUGCUGUGUAGGUAAAAGAUUCUGGGAAAUUCUCUAAACAAGCAGAUUAUUCCAUAUGUAAAGUUACUGGGACUGUAAGUAACUGUAGAAUCUUCUGCACAGUAUAUCAGAUGCUGUACUAUCAUGAUCUGUAUGAUAAGAUGUAAAAGCACUUAUUUUCUGUGUGUCUGUAUAUAAAUAAAUUCUGAUAGAUCAAUUAAAAUUCACAUAUUUUACAGAAUUACUUCAUCCAUUUCUUUUAAUUUAAAGAAACAUCAUUUUGGGGGUUGGCGCUGUGGCUCAAUGGGUUGACACCCUGGCCUGGAGCACCGACAUCCCAUAUAGGCAUAGGUUCUAGUCCCAGCUUCUCUUCUUCUGAUCCAGCUCUCUGCUGUGGCCUGAGAUGGCAGUGGAGGAUGGUCCAAGUCCUUAGGCCCCUGUACCCACAUGGGAGACCCAUAGGAGGCUCCUGUCUCCUGGCUUUGGAUUGGCACAGCUCUGGCCAUUGUGGUCAUCUGGGGAGUGAGCCAACGGAUGGAAGACCUCUCUCUCUGUCUCUACCUCUCUCUGUGUCCCUGUCUUUCAAAUAAAUAGAAUAAAUCUUAAAAGAAAGAGAAAUAUCAUUUUCACUUUUAUGGAAAGGGGAAUAACUGCUGUACAAUGAAAAGGAAAUUCCCUCAUCAAUAAAACUUAAAAAUAUUCAGAAAUCAUUUACUGGAAUAUAGUAUGUUCUUAUGUGUUUGAUUAUAGAUGACACAAAUACACUAUCUAUAUUCUGUUUUGGUUAAAAUUUCUGCAUGUGUGACUUCAUUUUUUCCUUAUAACCCCAAUUCUUUUAGUAUCAUAAGAUGGAAAAUGAGUUCUAUAUAGGCCCCAAUAUAGGUUAUUAUUGGCAAGGACUUGUUUAGUUUUCCUGUUCUAAAUAUUCAAAUGUUAUAACUUUAGAAAGAAAUAUAUUUAUUUACUAUACUAAUGCCUUUCUAAAAAUUUUGUAAAUCUCUAUCUUCCUUUGUAUAUACUGAUAAUACUUCUGUUACGCUGCUGGAAUUUACAGUUGUGUGUAAUGCUGAAGAACUGAAACUGUCUUGUUCACAGCUUACAGGACUGAGCAUGGCAACUUUACUGGAAGCAAGUGACCAUAGGAUUACCAUUUAAGGCAGUAUUAGCCUCCAUCUUUGAAGCCUGACACCAUUUCACUGAUGCUGGAAGAAGAAAUGGGAAAUUUCUAACAGAAGUCUGUAUUUAAUGUCAUUAGCUUUGGUAGAACACUACUAAAUAUAUAAUUAAUAUUUUAAGUUAUAACAAUUGUAAAACAUAAAAAUAAAAAUACUAUACCCUUAGGUUAAAUGAAUUGGGAUAAAUAAGUGCAUUUCCUCUAGCUACCUCCCCUAUACCUGUAGAGAUUAGCAUUAGGACAUUUAAGAAGCCAUAUUGUGCUGGAGCAGAGAGAAGAGGAAACAAACAGAAGUCAGGAGAUGUUAAUAGUUUUGGAUGUUGGGAGGAACAGCUAAACAGAAUUCUAUAAUUAAUUUAGAAUGUUUGAUCCAAAUUUGUGAGGGCUGUGGUGAGUGCUUGGAUUUAAGGAGCAUAAACUCUUAUUCCUUUC